AGAAUCAACGCUGGCGGCGUGCCUCAGACAUGCAAGUCGAACGCGAAAGGUUCCUUCGGGGACCGAGUAGAGUGGCGCACGGGUGAGUAACACGUAGGUAAUUUGCCUUUGGGUGGGGGAAUAACUCAGGGAAACUUGAGCUAAUACCGCAUAAUGCAGCGGCUCGACAUCGAGACAGUUGUUAAAGCGGGGGAUCGCAAGACCUCGCGCCUGAAGAGAAGCCUGCGGCAGAUUAGCUAGUUGGUAAGGUAAUGGCUUACCAAGGCGACGAUCU
Molecule: ribosomal RNA, 274 nt
Filed under: uncultured bacterium
Lineage: Bacteria
Description: partial small subunit ribosomal RNA
Rfam family: Bacterial small subunit ribosomal RNA
Source: RNAcentral